Molecule: long non-coding RNA, 343 nt
Organism: Drosophila subpulchrella
Lineage: Eukaryota; Metazoa; Arthropoda; Insecta; Diptera; Drosophilidae
Exons: 2
Source: RefSeq, a predicted model, not a curated record
AGCUUGUGUUACUUGAAAGACCAUGGUUAUGCCGACCCUCGUUGCGUAGCCGCAGUGGUGUAAGAAUCUCAUGAAUUUUCAGAUUUUCCUUGCCGAAAAAGUUAACUGAUGGUGCGACGCGUGUUUCUGUAUUUUGUGACCAGCUGGCUAUGGUGUAGAUCUGAUUCUGCACCGUCCUCCCCCUUUUCUCGGGUAACAACUAUACAGUGGCGGAUCUAGGGUUGCUGGCGCCCGGGGCAAAGCGAAAAAUUACGACCCCUCCCUAUUUGCUGUACGAAUAACAUUAGGAGUAUUUUAAAAGUAAAUAGGUUAUUAAUUAUUAAAAGCUUAUAUGUUUGAAGAA